This 1376-nucleotide long non-coding RNA is filed under the name Felis catus (domestic cat). RNAcentral describes it as "lncRNA (ENSFCAG00000053785.1)". Lineage: Eukaryota; Metazoa; Chordata; Mammalia; Carnivora; Felidae. The record is from RNAcentral.
AUGCUUUUCAGCCCUUCUAAACCAGAGUCCCAGCAGCUGCCCCACCCCAUGACCCCGCCAUUUGCCAAGCUUCUAGGACUGGUUCAUUUAUAUUCUUGUUGCCCUUGUAAACUCAGACUUUUUUUGUCUGUGGCCCAGGACAGACACAUCUGCUCAGGGUCCCUCAGGGGUAUCCAUGUCCGCUGCAGUUUAAAGUGUUGGGGUGGGGUUCCCAUCCUUACCAUGCUCUGUUUCUCUUGCCGUUCUCUCUGUGGCCGACCUUUUGGUGUGCAGAAGCCAUUCAGUCAGCCCUCAGUCCUGCAGGAGGAAUUGCUCUUUCCAUGGCCUUCACAUGAAAGUGAUCUGUGUGACAGUCUUCUCCACUGAGCUUAAGCAGGAGACUGAAAUCUCAAACUGUGGCCUCAACAUUGUCAUCUGAAAGCUGGAUGUCUAUUUCCUGAAUUUUUAUACUGAUCUGGAAAAGAAGGCAAGAAGAGCUAGUACUUUGGGCAUCUCUACACAGGUCCAUACCGAACACAUUAAUUUUAAUUAAUUUGUAUAAACUUGUGAUCCAGACAUUAUGGGAGCACUCACCCAGUCCACACUACCCUUUCUAGAAUGUAUCCCUUUCACAGCCCCUUUUGAAGGAAGUGACUCCUUACCACCAGCUGAUGUGGCUUAGGUUGAAUGCAAACACAAGAAGAACCAGCAUGUAGAUGGAGAGAGACUAAUUUCUUUCUUCUGAGAAGUUGCACUUGGAGAUACAGGGGAUGUUAUUCAGAAGAUAGUGGAAGAUUGAAUCGAAGUGUCAGCAAGUAGAGGAAUGUGAAAUCACAUGAAACUCAACAAGAGAGAAAAGAAGGAAGCAGAGAUAAAGGAGAAUCUCAUGCUUUAAAAACACAAAGAAUGUGCACAAGAAUUUUCUGUUCUAGUGUCCGUCCCCAGGAGGCUUGGCUUAUUUCAUUUCUUUCCUUAUCCUAAAACUAAAUUCACCUUAACUUAAACUGGCUUAAAUGGGCUUUAUCCCUUGCAACCAGUGAUGCUAUGCUGAUACGUUAAUUUCUAGAAAGGUCUGUGGCUGAAGAUAACCAGUUUCUCCUCCCUUAACCAGUCUGUGUGUGUUCAGACAUGGCUUGAAUGUCUAUCAGUGAACUCGUGGCUCCUCCAAAUUAGCAACAUCAUUUCUAAUGGCCAGUCCUCACACAUUUAAAUUGACAACAGCCAUGGAAGCUAAUUUUCCAGAAUCAGGCAAACUCUCAUCCCAUUUCUCCCUUGCAAAUACGAAAUUCAAGCAGCAUCUUGCAGAAACAGCCAGGAGCAGGUUAUUGCAUCUGGGCUUUUGGGACUCAGAGUGCCAAUUUCCCAGCACUGAUAGGUGAGGUCUUUGAAGCUCCCUU